This 396-nucleotide long non-coding RNA is filed under the name Durio zibethinus. RNAcentral's name for it is "long non-coding RNA (DZIB_LNC000107)". Lineage: Eukaryota; Viridiplantae; Streptophyta; Magnoliopsida; Malvales; Malvaceae. The record is from RNAcentral.
GGCAACUUUUACCUGGAAGUUGUCUUUGCAAUACGUGUUAAAUAUGCUUAAAAUUGUCGACUAAACCUAAGCAAAAUACUCAAGAAAUGAGCCUUAAACCUUCCAUAAAUGGUGAUUGGUGAGGUAAGUCUUAGGAUCAAGUUGAGCACAUUUACAACUCCAGAACUUUCAAGGAGAAAAAACGAAAACCUAACAAAUAAAAUUGUCGACUAAACCUAAGCAAAAUACUCAAGAAAUGAGCCUUAAACCUUCCAUAAAUGGCGAUUGGUGAGGUAAGUCUUAGGAUCAAGUUGAGCACAUUUACAACUCCAGAACUUUCAAGGAGAAAAAACGAAAACCUAACAAAUUAUUCAGGUCUGGCAUGCAUCUCUUUCUACUAAGAUCAACAAUUUGCUC